GCCGGAGUGGUGAAAUGGCAGACGCGCCGGACUCAAAAUCCGGUGAGAGCAAUCUCGUGCGGGUUCAACUCCCGCCUCCGGCACCA
RNAcentral lists this transfer RNA (86 nucleotides) under Nitrospirota bacterium. RNAcentral's name for it is "tRNA-Leu". It matches the Rfam family "tRNA". From Rfam's summary of the family: Transfer RNA (tRNA) molecules are approximately 80 nucleotides in length. Their secondary structure includes four short double-helical elements and three loops (D, anti-codon, and T loops). The record is from RNAcentral. Lineage: Bacteria; Pseudomonadati; Nitrospirota.